AACAGAAAAAACUUUGCACAUCUAUGAUGUGAGACAGGUGCAUCAGAGGGGGACGAGAAGGUCAGAAGUUGCAAAGAAACUCCUGCACACUAGCUGCCUUAACUAUGAAUU
Molecule: long non-coding RNA, 111 nt
Organism: Sander lucioperca (pikeperch)
Lineage: Eukaryota; Metazoa; Chordata; Actinopteri; Perciformes; Percidae
Exons: 3
Source: RefSeq, a predicted model, not a curated record